Molecule: ribosomal RNA, 482 nt
Filed under: uncultured bacterium
Lineage: Bacteria
Description: partial 16S ribosomal RNA
Rfam family: Bacterial small subunit ribosomal RNA
Source: RNAcentral
GAUGAACGCUGGCGGCGUGCCUAAUACAUGCAAGUCGAACGCUUCACUUCGGUGAAGAGUGGCGAACGGGUGAGUAAUACAUAAGUAACCUGGCAUCUACAGGGGGAUAACUGAUGGAAACGUCAGCUAAGACCGCAUAGGUGUAGAGAUCGCAUGAACUCUAUAUGAAAAGUGCUACGGGACUGGUAGAUGAUGGACUUAUGGCGCAUUAGCUUGUUGGUAGGGUAACGGCCUACCAAGGCGACGAUGCGUAGCCGACCUGAGAGGGUGACCGGCCACACUGGAACUGAGACACGGCCCAGACUCCUACGGGAGGCAGCAGUAGGGAAUUUUCGGCAAUGGGGGAAACCCUGACCGAGCAACGCCGCGUGAAGGAAGAAGUAAUUCGGUAUGUAAACUUCUGUCAUAGAGGAAGAACGGUGGAUAUAGGGAAUGAUAUCCAAGUGACGGUACUCUAUAAGAAAGCCACGGCUAACUACGUG